Molecule: ribosomal RNA, 275 nt
Filed under: uncultured bacterium
Lineage: Bacteria
Description: partial 16S ribosomal RNA
Rfam family: Bacterial small subunit ribosomal RNA
Source: RNAcentral
CCUACGGGGGGCUGCAGUGGGGAAUAUUGGACAAUGGGGGAAACCCUGAUCCAGCCAUGCCGCGUGAGUGAAGAAGGCCUUAGGGUUGUAAAGCUCUUUUGCCUGGGAAGAUAAUGACUGUACCAGGAGAAUAAGCCCCGGCUAACUUCGUGCCAGCAGCCGCGGUAAUACGAAGGGGGCUAGCGUUGUUCGGAAUCACUGGGCGUAAAGCGUGCGCAGGCGGAUAGAUUAGUCAGGGGUGAAAUCCCGGGGCUCAACCUCGGAAUUGCCUUUGA